ACUAACAUGAUUUCUCUGCAUGUAUGUUUGUUUGCAUAAUGAGCCCCUUAUUUUUAUACUUGGACAAAAGUACUAUAAGCCCACUACACUUUUUCAUGAGAGUGGGAUGCAUGAUUGUUUAUAUGAUGAGCCCUUUAUUUUCAUAUUGGGACAAAAAGUCACUUCAUUCAAAACGUCAAACACCACAUUCUUUCUGCCCUGUGUGUUUGUUGCAGAGAAUUUAUGUUGUAAAUUUAGAAGAGAGCAAAAUUUAUAUUUUCAGCGUUCCAACACAUGCUUAAUUUUGUGCUGUAAGCUAACUUGUAGUAUUCCAGUACGUCACAUGUUGUAUGUGCUUUAAAUUGUAUGUAUUCUGUAAAUUGUUGUAUGGGGUUGCUGAGAUUUUAUUGAUUGUGACCCAAACUGUGAAGAAGUGGGUUUGAAAUUUUGGUCAUGGAAUGUAGGAUCAGAAAACCAUGGACAAAGGUUUUAACCUGUGUUGAUAUGACUUUUGGAAACUCAAACUGACCGGUCAAAAUUUUGCCAUGCCUUUAACAUGGAGUAGUAUAAAUAUUUUGAGUCUUUGAGAGUUCUGACAAAUGCAGGUGAUACCAUGUCUGUGUAAUCUGGUCCAAAUGUUCUAUAAGUGUAUAAGAGAGAAAUUCUAUUGACAGGGUACAUAUGUUGCAACUGGUUAAUGCAAG
Pelobates cultripes (western spadefoot toad) is the source of this 683-nucleotide non-coding RNA. The record is from the annotation of a GenBank genome assembly. NCBI's taxonomy places the organism in Eukaryota, Metazoa, Chordata, Amphibia, Anura, Pelobatidae.